ACUCCUACGGGAGGUAGCAGUGGGGAAUAUUGCACAAUGGGCGCAAGCCUGAUGCAGCCAUGCCGCGUGUAUGAAGAAGGCCUUCGGGUUGUAAAGUACUUUCAGCAGUGAGGAAGGCGAGGUACGUUAAUAGCGUGCUUGUUUGUACGUUAGCUGCAGAAGAAGCACCGGCUAACUCCGUGCCAGCAGCCGCGGUAAGUACGGAGGGUGCGAGCGUUAAUCGGAAUUACGUGGGCGUAAAGCGCAUGCAGGUUGGUUUGUUAAGUCAGAUGUGAAAGCCCGGGGCUCAACCUCGGAAUUGCAUUUGAAACUGGCAGACUAGAGUACUGUAGAGGGGGUAGGAAUUUCAGGUGUAGCGGUGAAAUGCGUAGAGAUCUGAAGGUAAUACCGGUGGCGAAGGCGGCCCCCGUGGACAGAUACUGACACUCAGAUGCGAAAGCGUGGGAGCAAACAGGAUUAGAUACCCCGUGGUAGCGACUGA
Molecule: ribosomal RNA, 481 nt
Filed under: uncultured bacterium
Lineage: Bacteria
Description: bacterial SSU rRNA
Rfam family: Bacterial small subunit ribosomal RNA
Source: RNAcentral